This 1677-nucleotide ribosomal RNA is filed under the name Chilodus punctatus (spotted headstander). RNAcentral describes it as "16S rRNA". It matches the Rfam family "Bacterial large subunit ribosomal RNA". Lineage: Eukaryota; Metazoa; Chordata; Actinopteri; Characiformes; Chilodontidae. The record is from RNAcentral.
GCUGAACAGCUAGCUCUAAUACUAAAAAUUAAAUUAACAAUAUUCUCAACUUUAUUAUACUCCAAAAAUAAAAUUAAAUCAUUCUUCUGCCUUAGUACGGGUGACGGAAAAGGCCCUUAUGAAGCUAUAGAAAAAGUACCGCAAGGGAAAGCUGAAAGAGAAAUGAAACAACUCAUUUAAGCCCUAAAAAGCAGAGACUAAACCUCGUACCUUUUGCAUCAUGCUUUAGCCAGUAUAAUUGAGCAAAGAGAACUUUAGUUCAAAACCCCGAAACCAAGUGAGCUACCCCGGGACAGCCUAUUAUAGGGCCAACCCGUCUCUGUGGCAAAAGAGUGGGAAGAUCUCCGGGUAGAAGUGACAAACUUACCGAACUUGGUGAUAGCUGGUUGCCUAGGAAAUGGAUAGAAGUUCAGCCCCGCACUCCUCAGCCCACCCAAAAUAACUUAAAUUAUGGACUAGAGAAAUAUGCUGGAGUUAGUCAAAGGGGGUACAGCCCCUUUGAAUCAGGACACAACCUGCCCAGGAGGUUAAGGAUCAUACUUAAAAAGAUUACUGCUUAAGUGGGCCUAAAAGCAGCCACCUAAACAGAAAGCGUUAAAGCUCAGGCAGAUCUAUUAAUCUAUUAUAAGGAUAUUAUUAUCCAAAACCCCUUAUUAUACUAGGCCAUUUCAUGCUAACAUGAAAGAGACCCUGCUAAAAUGAGUAAUAAGAAGGCACCCCCUUCUCCCCGGCCCAUGUGUAAGUUAGAUCGGACUAACCACUAAUAAUUAACGAACCCAAUACAAGAGGGAACUGUGAUACAAAUAAAAAACAAGAAAAAUUCACAUACUUAAUCGUUUACCCUACACAGGCGUGCCACAAGGAAAGACUAAUAAAAAAGGAAGGAACUCGGCAAACACAAGCCUCGCCUGUUUACCAAAAACAUCGCCUCCUGCUAAAUCUUCGAAGUAUAGGAGGUCCUGCCUGCCCAGUGACUUCUUGUUAAAUGGCCGCGGUAUUUUGACCGUGCUAAGGUAGCGCAAUCACUUGUCUUUUAAAUGAAGACCCGUAUGAAUGGUAAAACGAGGGCUUAACUGUCUCCCUUCUUUGGUCAAUGAAAUUGAUCUGCCCGUGCAGAAGCGGACAUAUUAAUACAAGACGAGAAGACCCUUUGGAGCUUAAGACAAAAAGCCAACUGUAUAAAAACCCAUAUAAAAUGAAGUUUAACAAAACAGCCAUUUGGCCCACGUCUUCGGUUGGGGCGACCACGGAGUAAAACAAAACCUCCAUACAGAAUGGGAUUCCCUCUCAAACCAAGAGAUACAUCUCUAAGUCGCAGAACAUCUGACUAUAAGAUCCGGCUUAUAAAGCCGAUCAACGGACCAAGUUACCCUAGGGAUAACAGCGCAAUCCCCUUCAAGAGUCCCUAUCGACAAGGGGGUUUACGACCUCGAUGUUGGAUCAGGACAUCCUAAUGGUGCAGCCGCUAUUAAGGGUUCGUUUGUUCAACGAUUAAAGUCCUACGUGAUCUGAGUUCAGACCGGAGCAAUCCAGGUCAGUUUCUAUCUGUAACGCCAUCCUUCCUAGUACGAAAGGACCGGAAGAAUAAGGCCCCUGUUUAAAACACGCCCUAUUCUAAUUUAAUGAAAUCAACUAAAUUAAAUAAUAGAAGGCAAUCCCAGACCCUAGUUAAGGGAU